This 205-nucleotide ribosomal RNA is filed under the name Clostridioides difficile. RNAcentral's name for it is "partial 23S ribosomal RNA". It matches the Rfam family "Bacterial large subunit ribosomal RNA", at positions 833 to 1038 of the family's 2925-position model. Lineage: Bacteria; Bacillati; Bacillota; Clostridia; Peptostreptococcales; Peptostreptococcaceae. The record is from RNAcentral.
UCGAGCCCGGAGAUAGCUGGUUCUCCCCGAAAUAGCUUUAGGGCUAGCCUCAAGGUGAGAGAUACGGAGGUAGAGCACUGAAUGUCCUAGGGGGUAUUGCACUUACCGAAGACUAUCAAACUCCGAAUGCCGUCAUCUUAUACUUGGGAGUCAGACUGUGGGUGAUAAGAUUCAUAGUCGAAAGGGCAACAGCCCAGAUCGUCAG